This 440-nucleotide ribosomal RNA is filed under the name uncultured bacterium. RNAcentral describes it as "partial 16S ribosomal RNA". It matches the Rfam family "Bacterial small subunit ribosomal RNA", at positions 338 to 795 of the family's 1533-position model. The record is from RNAcentral.
CCUACGGGAGGCAGCAGUGGGGAAUAGUGCACAAUGGGGGAAACCCUGAUGCAGCGACGCCGCGUGAGAGAUGAAGGAUUUCGGGAGGUAAAGCUCUAUCAGCAGGGAAGAAAAUGACGGUACCUGACUAAGAAGCCCCGGCUAACUACGUGCCAGCAGCCGCGGUAAUACGUAGGGGGCAAGCGUUAUCCGGAUUUACUGGGUGUAAAGGGAGCGUAGACGGCGGUGCAAGCCAGAUGUGAAAGCCUGGGGCUCAACCCCGGGACUGCAUUUGAAACUGUGCUGCUAGAGUGUCGGAGAGGCAGGCGGAAUUCCUAGUGUAGCGGUGAAAUGCGUAGAUAUUAGGAGGAACACCAGUGGCGAAGGCGGCCUGCUGGACGAUGACUGACGUUGAGGCUCGAAAGCGUGGGGAGCAAACAGGAUUAGAUACCCUUGUAGUC